GUCGUUCGAACGCACCCUCUAAUGCAAAGUCGAACCUCGAUUUUAGAUCUGUAAAUUUAGAUUAACGGUAAAGUCUGACCGAACAAACUGAUCGGAAAACGGUGUUCUCAUCUCGUUUAAACGCCGGCGGGUGUAUGAGGAA
RNAcentral lists this long non-coding RNA (142 nucleotides) under Polistes fuscatus (common paper wasp). RNAcentral describes it as "uncharacterized LOC122519532". The record is from RNAcentral. Lineage: Eukaryota; Metazoa; Arthropoda; Insecta; Hymenoptera; Vespidae.